RNAcentral lists this transfer RNA (72 nucleotides) under Salix viminalis (osier). Lineage: Eukaryota; Viridiplantae; Streptophyta; Magnoliopsida; Malpighiales; Salicaceae. The record is from RNAcentral.
GCCGCUAUUGCUCAGUGGUAGAGCGUGAGUCCUUGAAAACUGAAGGUCUGUAGAUCGAUCCACCAUGGGUCG